UGCAGUAAACAACAGUAGAGUA
RNAcentral lists this non-coding RNA (22 nucleotides) under Arabidopsis thaliana (thale cress). Lineage: Eukaryota; Viridiplantae; Streptophyta; Magnoliopsida; Brassicales; Brassicaceae. The record is from RNAcentral.